This 404-nucleotide ribosomal RNA is filed under the name uncultured bacterium. Its description in RNAcentral is "bacterial SSU rRNA". It matches the Rfam family "Bacterial small subunit ribosomal RNA", at positions 359 to 758 of the family's 1533-position model. The record is from RNAcentral.
UUCCGCUGUAUUGGCGCAGCCUGUCAGCAAUGCCGCGUGCAGGACGAAGGCCUUCGGGUUGUAAACUGCUUUUGUACGGAACGAAACGGCCUUUUCUAAUACAAGAGGCUAAUGAGGGGACCGUAAGAAUAAGCACCGGCUAACUACGUGCCAGCAGCCGAAGUAAUACGUAGGGUGCGAGCGUUAAUCGGAAUUACUGGGCGUAAAGCGUGCGCAGGCGGUUAUAUAAGACAGUUGUGAAAUCCCCGGGCUUAACCUGGGAACUGCAUCUGUGACUGUAUAGCUAGAGUACGGGGGGAGGGGGAUGGAAUUCCGCGUGUAGCAUUAAAAUGCGUAAAUAUGCGGGGGAAACACCGAUGGCGAAGGCAAUCCCCCCGGGCCUGUACUGACGCUCAUGCCCGAAA